AACCAAGUGAGCCAUGGCGCUGGCUCCCAGAUGAGUCUUGAUGGUGUAACCAUUGUAGUAGCUGUGGAAGUGGUAGAAAUGGUUGCAUUCUGGCUCAUAAUUUUGUAUAGGUCUGCUCUGAUUUUCUACUUUUGCGAAUGAGAGAGAAAAAGGGGAUGACUGAAAGAUUUUUGCAUUCAUUAGUUGGAGUAUAGAAGCUCCAUCUCCUGGGAUGAGAAAGUAACUAAUAGGAAUAAUUUUCACUGGGAACAUCAUAAGUUUAUUUUGGGCAUAUUAAAGAUAUGAGGUAUUUGAGGAUGAGUAGAGGUAUCAAGGGUGGAGGGAUAGACACAUCAAUCUGCAAUUUAGGUGUGGGGUUCAGGACUGAGACAUCUUCUAAGAGCAGCUGAUAGUGCAUGGGCCAGUAUGGAGCUGUUGGUCUUAGUUCAGACGGUUAACAAUAACAUAUAUACUGUUGGUUUAAACAACAAAAAUGUGUUUCUCACAGUUUGGAAGCUGGGAAGCCCAAGACCAAGGUGUCAGAGUUUUGGUUUGUGUGGGGCCUUGUCCAUGCUGUGAUCGUUAGAGACCCUGUCCUCAGACUGCUGGCUCCCGAGUCCAAGAAGCAUUCCCAUGAGCAGUCUUCGGUGUUGGCCACAUUUUUGGUGGUACGUCUCCCUGCCACCAAAACCUGCCUCUCCUUCAUCAACAGAAUCUGCAGAGGGAGCAUCACAGACAAUUACUUCUAAGGAUCAGAGCUGUCUUGAAACACUCACUGUGCCCUUUAACCACCUUGUGGCUGCCCAUGAGGUGAGAAAUUAGAAAAUUUCAUAUGAUUCUUUAUCAAACACAUGAGAUAACAAGGUUAUAACAUCUGAAAUAUUUGCAAUAAACUCUGAAAUUCUAACUACAGAAUUACCUUUCAAAGUAACUCAAACAUCAGAUCUACUCAUUGCCAUGUUCCAUAUCAAACUAAUGUCAUGGAUGGUCAUGCUACUGAAACAGGAGGAUUCAGGGUUGGACAUGGGGUUUCUUACCAUCAGCUCCUCUUGAGGAGUUUGGAUCAGACCUUAACAAGCAUCCCUCUUCUUUGAGUGGACUCUCAUGUCUACGCUCCAGCACCAGUGCCACCUCUGUCAAGGCUCAGAAUGUUUCCAGGGAUUCCCUUUACAGCCCCAAUACAGAGCCAUUUUCUUCAGAGCCUCUCUCCAGGAUGGAGAUGUAGUCUCCUAAAGUGUUGCUUUUUCAAGGAGGUUGGAGCAAUGAUGACACUCAGAGGAUGGGAGUGGGGCAGGAGGAAGACAGCAAAACCCAGAAGAGGUCAUUUAAAAUUCUCUCACCUUGCUUCCCUCUAGAGCAUGAUUAGGCUACCACCUGUUUCAAUAAUGAGAGUGACUGCUUGGGGAAUUGAGGGUAACUCUAAGAAACUUUUGUCUCUUCUACCAAUUGCCAAAAACAAUUACCAGCGAUUACUGGCUGUCUCUCAAGGAUCAGAAAGAAAGAGUAGUGAUGGAAACUUUGCUGUGUUCCACUGAAACUGAAAAUCUCUUCUUUUUGGGAGGACAGCCACUAUUGCUUUCCCUCAGCCCAAACACCCUUCUGAGUGUUCUGACUCUUGGUUCAUCAAAUCUCUGAACAGAUAAUCAAAAGUUGGGGCUGACUCUAUGACGCAGGCGUUUAAAUCCAUGGUUUAAGUGCUGGCAUCCCAUAUGGGAGCCGGUUUGAAUCCCAGCUGCUUCACUUCUGAUCCAGCUGUCUGCUGUGGCCUGGGAAAGCAGUAGAAGAUGGCCCAAGUCCUUGGGCCCCUGCACCCACAAGGGAGACCCGGAUGAAGCUCCUGGCUCCUGAUUUCAGAUUGGCACAGCUCUGGCCAUUGCAGCCAAUUUGGGUGUGAACCAGUGAAAGGAACCUCCGUCCCCCCGCCUCUCCUCUCUCCUUGUACUCUUUCAAAGAAAUAAAUCUUAAAAAAAAAGGUUACCAGCAUGUUACAGCUCCUCAACACCUUUCAGUCUCUUUUUACAAAUGGCAUUGCUCCUCUUUCUUUUUUUUUGACAUAAAGAUUUACACAGUGAGAAGGAGAGAGACAGAGAGAAAGGUCUUCCUUCUCUUGGUUCACCCCCGCAAAUGGCUGCUACAGCCUGAGCUACGCUGAUCUGAAGCCAAGAGCCAGGUGCUUCCCCUGGUCUCCCAUGUGGGUGCAGGCACCUAAGCACUUGCACCAUCCUCCACUGCCCUCCUGGGCCACAGCAGAGAGCUGGACUGGAAGAGGAGCAACCAGGACUAGAACCUGGUGCUCAUAUGGGAUGCUGGCACCACAGGCGGAGGAUUAACCAGUGAGCCAUGGCCCCAGCCCCAGUGCUACUCUUCUUAAAAUAACUAUGCUAGCUUGUUUAUCCUGUAUCAUUUUCUUGUCUAUUUGUGUUACAGUAGUGUUUUGUUUAAAUGUUCCUUUUACAACUAUCCAAUUAUUCAGGUAUUUGUAUGAAAAUGCAGAAAUCAAGUUACCUUAUAGGUGAGCAAUUUUAUAGGAGAAGAAUGACAGAAUAAUUAUUUAUCACAACAUUUAAUUAUGUAUUCUAAUUGCAGUGGCAUGUUAGAAUGCUGAAGUCAAAGAUUUACUCUUUUUUCAUUGGCCCCAAUGAACAAUGAUACUAUUACAGCAAAUGUUUGAAAGCAAAUAUUGAAAGUAUGAAUAACUCAU
Oryctolagus cuniculus (rabbit) is the source of this 2680-nucleotide non-coding RNA. The record is from RefSeq and is a predicted model, not a curated record. NCBI's taxonomy places the organism in Eukaryota, Metazoa, Chordata, Mammalia, Lagomorpha, Leporidae.